GAUGAAGAACGCAGCGAACGUGCGAAACGUAAUGUGAAUUGCAGAAUUCAGUGAAUCAUCGAAUCUUUGAACGCAUCUUGCGCUCCUUGGUAUUCCGAGGAGCAUGCCUGUUUGAGUGUCGUGAAUACUCUCAACUUCAACCCUUUUUUCGGAAAGGGAGGAAGGUUGGACUUGGGUGUUUGUUGAAGUGCGAGCUUCGACUCAUCCUAAAUGCAUUAGCGAUCUGCCUCGAUCACACACCAUGUGAUAAUUAAAACUAAAGCAUUGUUUAAUGAUCAAGUCGAGACUGCUUCUAACUGUCGCAAGACAAUAACGUGCAUACAUUUGUGCAUGUCAUUUGACCUCAAAUCAGGUAGGACUACCCGCUGAACUUAAGCAUAUCAAUAAGCGGAGGA
This 395-nucleotide unclassified non-coding RNA is filed under the name soil metagenome. Its description in RNAcentral is "partial contains 5.8S ribosomal RNA, internal transcribed spacer 2, and large subunit ribosomal RNA". The stretch from base 1 to 121 matches the Rfam family "5.8S ribosomal RNA", at positions 35 to 154 of the family's 154-position model. The record is from RNAcentral.